Molecule: ribosomal RNA, 253 nt
Filed under: uncultured bacterium
Lineage: Bacteria
Description: partial 16S ribosomal RNA
Rfam family: Bacterial small subunit ribosomal RNA
Source: RNAcentral
UACGUAGGCAGCAAGCGUUGUUCGGAGUUACUGGGCGUAAAGAGCGCGCAGGCGGUCGUACAAGUCGCGUGUGAAAGCCCCCGGCUCAACUGGGGAGGGUCACGCGAUACUGUUCGACUCGAAGGCAGGAGAGGGAAGUGGAAUUCCCGGUGUAGUGGUGAAAUGCGUAGAUAUCGGGAGGAACACCAGUGGCGAAGGCGACUUCCUGGCCUGUUCUUGACGCUGAGGCGCGAAAGCUAGGGUAGCAAACGGG